CUCCGACUCUGCCCGGCGUGCGCUAGCGGCAGGGAGGAGGAGCCCCGGGCUGGGACUCCCUGGUCUUGGCUCUGCCACUUUAUGCUCUUUGACUUUGGGAAAUUCCUGUGCCUUCCUCUCUCCGGGCACUGGAUUGCCUCUUCUGUCAAACAAGGUGAUCGGGCCCCAAGGUCCUUUCCAGCUCUGACGAGCUGGAGUCCAGGUUCCCGUUCCACGACUGCUUCUUUGGGGAAUGACGAUAAUCAUCUUGCAGUGCUGGACCUUGGACUCUUCCAUCUCCCAGGAAGCCCUGGGAGACGUCAGCCCUUCUGCACAGGGAUCACAUGCUGCAACAUCUUGCAGACUCAUGGCUCUAUCAGGAAAGAGACAAGGUGACCCCACCAUGAAAACAGAACCCCUUUUGUGGUCGUCCUGUUGGCAAGUUGUUACUCACCAUUUCCUCCUUCCUUUGGCUGAAAGUGGAUGAAUGCAAAGGGCCCAGAGGACUGGCUGGAUUCUGACCUUUUGUCCCUGGGGCUUAGGAGGUGACAGUCUGGGCCAUUGGUGUGUGUGGGGGGGUGUGUGUGUGGGGGGUGUGUGUGUGUGUGUGUGGUUUCUAUUCAUGUAGUUUCCUUCAUUGCUAUUUUAAAUAAAUUGUCCCUUUUUAUCA
RNAcentral lists this long non-coding RNA (649 nucleotides) under Vombatus ursinus (common wombat). RNAcentral's name for it is "lncRNA (ENSVURG00010021521.1)". Lineage: Eukaryota; Metazoa; Chordata; Mammalia; Diprotodontia; Vombatidae. The record is from RNAcentral.